RNAcentral lists this ribosomal RNA (253 nucleotides) under uncultured bacterium. Its description in RNAcentral is "partial 16S ribosomal RNA". It matches the Rfam family "Bacterial small subunit ribosomal RNA", at positions 524 to 776 of the family's 1533-position model. The record is from RNAcentral.
GACGUAGGAGGCGAGCGUUGUCCGGAUUCAUUGGGCGUAAAGAGCACGCAGGCGGUUUGGCAAGUCGGACGUGAAAAUCCGGGGCUCAACCCCGGACCUGCAUCCGAAACUGCCAGACUAGAGGUAGGUAGGGGAGAUCGGAAUUCCUGGUGUAGCGGUGAAAUGCGCAGAUAUCAGGAGGAACACCGGUGGCGAAGGCGGAUCUCUGGGCCUUACCUGACGCUCAGGUGCGAAAGCUAGGGGAGCGAACAGG